UACGUAGGGUGCAAGCGUUAAUCGGAAUUACUGGGCGUAAAGCGUGCGCAGUCGGUUUUGUAAGACAGGCGUGAAAUCCCCGGGCUCAACCUGGGAAUUGCGCUUGUGACUGCAAGGCUGGAGUGCGGCAGAGGGGGAUGGAAUUCCGCGUGUAGCAGUGAAAUGCGUAGAUAUGCGGAGGAACACCGAUGGCGAAGGCAAUCCCCUGGGCCUGCACUGACGCUCAUGCACGAAAGCGUGGGGAGCAAACAGG
Molecule: ribosomal RNA, 253 nt
Filed under: uncultured bacterium
Lineage: Bacteria
Description: partial 16S ribosomal RNA
Rfam family: Bacterial small subunit ribosomal RNA
Source: RNAcentral